GUCGUGUCCUGAUGAAAAAGAUACACCUACGUUUUCAUCUUCCUCAAUCGUCUCAGACGAUUCCCCUACAUAGACAUCAUUUCCACAUUUCCAAAUUUCCGGUAACUACGUCGGCAACAGUAUUCAGACCAAUAAAAUACUCUCAAAACCCACGUCACCAAUCAAGCUUCCUGACUUAUUUUCUUCUCCUCAUACUAAACGUUUCUACAAACGAUGGUCUUCUCAUCUCCCACACCUUCCUCCAUCUCUCAUAAAUAUAUAUUGAUUCAGUCCGCAAUCUCACUAACUAUAGAUCGAUUCGAUUGUUUGGUUCAAUUUCGUCACCUCCAACUUCUGUACGAAAUACAAUUUUCCAGUUUUAAAACACAAUUCAACUCAGGAGCAAUCCGGGUAUCAUUGGUUCUUAAACGAUGACCAAAUCAGAACCGGAGUUGAACGCAAGAGAUCUUUUGCGUCAGGUAUGGCUUUGAAGACGACAGUGCCUGCGAACGCAACGGCUGCCCAAACUCGGAAGAAGCCUAUAUGUUGGUGACGAAGGACCUAAAGGCACUGAGAUAGUACAACUUUAUCGUCAGUAUGGACACUAGAGUGAUGCAGAUGAAAGAAACUCCUCAGAUAUUGAUUUCUUUGAAUAUAUUGAGGCUGUUUAAGUUACAUGGGAUCCAAAUGUGUCGGCUGGCCAGUAACCCUCCAAUGGCGACGGCCCUUUCAAUUCUCCCAUCUCCACCAUCUAUAUAUGACUCGCCUCAUUUAGACAGAACCCCUAUCAUGAACCACUCGAUUCUUCUUUUAUUAAUCAGGUGUUGGCUUACGCACACCAGUCUUACAAAAGAAGUGAUCAAAUAACUUACUACUCAAGUAAUUUCAAAGGAAAAAGAAAAAUAGGCCCCGCAAGUUUACUCUGAAGCUGACACACUGAGGAACCUAAAAUCAAGACUUGCAAAGGGACUGAUAAUCAAGUGCAGUAAAUGCAAUCUGAAAGGGGAUGCCUUUGUCUGCUAUAUCAGGUCUUGCCGGUAGGAUUAUGUAUGUUUUACCACAUUCUUUUCAUUCGCAUCUAAAUAUAUAAUUAAAAAAUACUUACCACAGUUCUAAUUCUAAUGUGAAACUAUUAUUUUUGGGUCCUUACAAGAAGAUUUUCUUCUACUUUAUCUGGACAUAUAGACAUUGCGCAUCAAGAGCUGAGCCCUUACCAAAAUUGUAUCAAAGCUGUUUUCCCCAUCAUAUUUUGAUACAAGACUUACAGUAUGGCUGUAUCAUUACUUUUUUUCAGAAUUCCUGCUGAGUUUUGUUCAUUGGAUAGUACAAAAUAUCUUUUUCUCUGUGGAUAUGCACUAUCACAGAAUGAGAAGGUUAGUAUUUAGUAAUAAACAUCUCUUCUUACCACAAGACAACCAAGAAACCCCAUCCUAUGUGGAUAUAUCAUACCUACUUUGCUUCAAAAAAACUUAUCUUCGCAUUUUAUUGCUUUCCCCCAUUGCCUGAUGGAAUAAUCCAUAUCAAGGUACUGGAACCCAAGUGUUACACAUGUGCUUGCUUCUAAGGAUGUGAAAGGAGCGUGUACAAGAACUGUGAAUGUUAUUAUGGAUAUUCUCAAUGGAAAAGGGA
This is a long non-coding RNA of Brassica oleracea var. oleracea, 1608 nucleotides long. RefSeq lists it as uncharacterized. The transcript has 7 exons. NCBI's taxonomy places the organism in Eukaryota, Viridiplantae, Streptophyta, Magnoliopsida, Brassicales, Brassicaceae. The record is from RefSeq and is a predicted model, not a curated record.